AGAGUUUGAUCAUGGCUCAGGACGAACGCUGGCGGCGCGCCUAACACAUGCAAGUCGAACGGAGCUGAGAGGAGCUUGCUUCUCUCAGCUUAGUGGCGAACGGGUGAGUAACGCGUGAGUAACCUGCCCUGAAGUGGGGGACAACAGUUGGAAACGACUGCUAAUACCGCAUAAGCCCACGAUCCGGCAUCGGAUUGAGGGAAAAGGAUUUAUUCGCUUCAGGAUGGACUCGCGUCCAAUUAGCUAGUUGGUGAGGUAACGGCCCACCAAGGCGACGAUUGGUAGCCGGACUGAGAGGUUGAACGGCCACAUUGGGACUGAGACACGGCCCAGACUCCUACGGGAGGCAGCA
Molecule: ribosomal RNA, 352 nt
Filed under: uncultured bacterium
Lineage: Bacteria
Description: bacterial SSU rRNA
Rfam family: Bacterial small subunit ribosomal RNA
Source: RNAcentral